RNAcentral lists this long non-coding RNA (308 nucleotides) under Strongylocentrotus purpuratus (purple sea urchin). Its description in RNAcentral is "uncharacterized LOC115922881". The record is from RNAcentral. Lineage: Eukaryota; Metazoa; Echinodermata; Echinoidea; Camarodonta; Strongylocentrotidae.
AUAGUCCGCUAUUCUGCAGUGAUUUUCUUCCAAUCCAGUAUCAUUUGUACGUUGCAGCAUCAUCGAACACUAUGACCCAUGAAUCAGAAGAUAACGUAGAUGCUACGAGAGAGCUCAUUUCACAAUGGACAACAGAAGUGUUACGUGACUUUCUACAAGGAGGGGACUCAAGCUUGGAAAUCGAGUACCGGUAGUCAUUAUUUUAUGGGUGUUCUCUGCCUUGACUCUGGGGGUACUGUUCAGCCAUCCGAGGUAGAGAUAAACUGGACGAUGGAUGGAGAGGGGGCGGGGGGGGGGGGGGGGGGGGG